Molecule: long non-coding RNA, 436 nt
Organism: Asparagus officinalis (garden asparagus)
Lineage: Eukaryota; Viridiplantae; Streptophyta; Magnoliopsida; Asparagales; Asparagaceae
Exons: 3
Source: RefSeq, a predicted model, not a curated record
UUCCCCACACCAAGGACUCCAAACAAGAUCCAAGUCUUCCUCCUUAAAACCCAUCAGCUUUGAUAAGAUAAAGCCUCAAAAAAGAACCCCUGACCUUGGCCGAAAUCUUCAUCUCCCCACAAGCUAGGGUUUGGGAUUUUCUUCUUCUUCAAGCUUCAGAACUUGGGUUAGCUAUGGCGACAAGGAAGUCACGUACCGCGAGGGGUCGUUCUGCUACCCAGUCACCCGAGCCCGAACCUUUCAGUUGCACUGUCGACUUCCCUUCAAGGGCGAUUAACACCAGUGCGGUGGAAGGUCGCUCCGGCGAGGCUUAUGCUUCUGCCAACGACCCUAUGCUCAUUCCGGCUAUUCCCCAAUUUGCUCCGGACGCAUCUGAAGAACUUCCCCAGCUAAUACGCAAAGGGAAUCGACAAACUCCUCCACAGUGGGACCUCUU